RNAcentral lists this ribosomal RNA (908 nucleotides) under Dilophospora alopecuri. RNAcentral describes it as "LSU rRNA". It matches the Rfam family "Eukaryotic large subunit ribosomal RNA", at positions 38 to 965 of the family's 3401-position model. The record is from RNAcentral. Lineage: Eukaryota; Fungi; Ascomycota; Dothideomycetes.
GCAUAUCAAUAAGCGGAGGAAAAGAAACCAACAGGGAUUGCCCUAGUAACGGCGAGUGAAGCGGCAACAGCUCAAAUUUGAAAUCUGGCUCUUUUAGAGUCCGAGUUGUAAUUUGCAGAGGGCGCUUUGGCGUUGGCAGCGGUCCAAGUUCUUUGGAACAGGACGUCACAGAGGGUGAGAAUCCCGUACGUGGUCGCUAGCCUUCGCCGUGUAAAGCCCCUUCGACGAGUCGAGUUGUUUGGGAAUGCAGCUCUAAAUGGGAGGUAAAUUUCUUCUAAAGCUAAAUACUGGCCAGAGACCGAUAGCGCACAAGUAGAGUGAUCGAAAGAUGAAAAGCACUUUGGAAAGAGAGUCAAAUAGCACGUGAAAUUGUUGAAAGGGAAGCGCUUGCAGCCAGACUUACCUGUAGUUGCUUAUCUAGACUUUUGUCUAGUGCACUCUUCUACGGGUAGGCCAGCAUCAGUUUAGGCGGUUGGAUAAAGGUCUCUGUCACGUACCUCCCUUCGGGGUGGCCUUAUAGGGGAGACGUCAUGCAACCAGCCUGGACUGAGGUCCGCGCAUCUGCUAGGAUGCUGGCGUAAUGGCUGUAAGCGGCCCGUCUUGAAACACGGACCAAGGAGUCUAACAUCUAUGCGAGUGUUUGGGUGUCAAGCCCAGACGCGUAAUGAAAGUGAACGGAGGUGGGAACCCUUUGGGUGCACCAUCGACCGAUCCUGAUGUCUUCGGAUGGAUUUGAGUAAGAGCAUGGCUGUUGGGACCCGAAAGAUGGUGAACUAUGCUUGAAUAGGGUGAAGCCAGAGGAAACUCUGGUGGAGGCUCGCAGCGGUUCUGACGUGCAAAUCGAUCGUCAAAUUUGGGCAUAGGGGCGAAAGACUAAUCGAACUAUCUAGUAGCUGGUUCCUGCCGAG